RNAcentral lists this ribosomal RNA (453 nucleotides) under Escherichia coli. RNAcentral's name for it is "partial 23S ribosomal RNA". It matches the Rfam family "Bacterial large subunit ribosomal RNA", at positions 1 to 484 of the family's 2925-position model. The record is from RNAcentral. Lineage: Bacteria; Pseudomonadati; Pseudomonadota; Gammaproteobacteria; Enterobacterales; Enterobacteriaceae.
GGGUUGUGAGGUUAAGCGACUAAGCGUACACGGUGGAUGCCCUGGCAGUCAGAGGCGAUGAAGGACGUGCUAAUCUGCGAUAAGCGUCGGUAAGGUGAUAUGAACCGUUAUAACCGGCGAUUUCCGAAUGGGGAAACCCAGUGUGUUUCGACACACUAUCAUUAACUGAAUCCAUAGGUUAAUGAGGCGAACCGGGGGAACUGAAACAUCUAAGUACCCCGAGGAAAAGAAAUCAACCGAGAUUCCCCCAGUAGCGGCGAGCGAACGGGGAGGAGCCCAGAGCCUGAAUCAGUGUGUGUGUUAGUGGAAGCGUCUGGAAAGGCGCGCGAUACAGGGUGACAGCCCCGUACACAAAAAUGCACAUACUGUGAGCUCGAUGAGUAGGGCGGGACACGUGGUAUCCUGUCUGAAUAUGGGGGGACCAUCCUCCAAGGCUAAAUACUCCUGACUGAC